Carya illinoinensis is the source of this 107-nucleotide small nuclear RNA. The record is from RefSeq and is a predicted model, not a curated record. Lineage: Eukaryota; Viridiplantae; Streptophyta; Magnoliopsida; Fagales; Juglandaceae.
CACAGUGGCACACUUGGGUUCCGAUAAAAUUAGAACGAUACAGAGAAGAUUAGCAUGACCCUUGUGCAAGGAUGACACUCACAAAUCGAGAACAGGACGUAGUAGCC